AACGAACGCUGGCGGCAUGCCUAACACAUGCAAGUCGAACGAGACCUUCGGGUCUAGUGGCGCACGGGUGCGUAACGCGUGGGAACCUGCCCUUAGGUUCGGAAUAACUCCCCGAAAGGGGUGCUAAUACCGGCUAAUUUCUUCGGACCAAAGAUUUAUCGCCUUUGGAUGGGCCCGCGUUGGAUUAGCUAGUUGGUAGGGUAAAAGCCUACCAAGGCGACGAUCCAUAGCUGGUCUGAGAGGAUGAUCAGCCACACUGGGACUGAGACACGGCCCAGACUCCUACGGGAGGCAGCAGUGGGGAAUAUUGGACAAUGGGCGAAAGCCUGAUCCAGCAAUGCCGCGUGAGUGAUGAAGGCCUUAGGGUUGUAAAGCUCUUUUACCCGGGAUGAUAAUGACAGUACCGGGAGAAUAAGCUCCGGCUAACUCCGUG
This 433-nucleotide ribosomal RNA is filed under the name uncultured bacterium. RNAcentral describes it as "partial 16S ribosomal RNA". It matches the Rfam family "Bacterial small subunit ribosomal RNA", at positions 29 to 507 of the family's 1533-position model. The record is from RNAcentral.